UACAGAGGCCUCGAGCGUUAGGCGGAAUCACUGGGCUUAAAGCGCGUGUAGGCGGACCGUUAAGUGCCUUGUGAAAUCCCACGGCUCAACCGUGGAACCGCUGGGCAUACUGGCGGUCUUGGGCCACUCAGGGGCAACCGGAACAAGCGGUGGAGCGGUGAAAUUCGUAGAUAUUCGGAAGAACACCAGUGGCGAAGGCGACUCACUGGACAUGUAUUGACGCUGAGGUACGAAAGCGUGGGGAGCAAACAGGG
Molecule: ribosomal RNA, 254 nt
Filed under: uncultured bacterium
Lineage: Bacteria
Description: partial 16S ribosomal RNA
Rfam family: Bacterial small subunit ribosomal RNA
Source: RNAcentral